CAGUCGCCACGGUAAUACGUAGGUGGCAAGCGUUGUCCGGAAUUAUUGGGCGUAAAGGGCUCGCAGGCGGUUUCUUAAGUCUGAUGUGAAAACCCCCGGCUCAACCGGGGAGGGUCAUUGGAAACUGGGAAACUUGAGUGCAGAAGAGGAGAGUGGAAUUCCACGUGUAGCGGUGAAAUGCGUAGAGAUGUGGAGGAACACCAGUGGCGAAGGCGACUCUCUGGUCUGUAACUGACGCUGAGGAGCGAAAGCGUGGGGAGCGAACAGGAUUAGAUACCCGUGUAGUCCCUGUCUCUUAUAC
RNAcentral lists this ribosomal RNA (301 nucleotides) under uncultured bacterium. RNAcentral's name for it is "partial 16S ribosomal RNA". It matches the Rfam family "Bacterial small subunit ribosomal RNA", at positions 509 to 807 of the family's 1533-position model. The record is from RNAcentral.